This 253-nucleotide ribosomal RNA is filed under the name uncultured bacterium. RNAcentral's name for it is "partial 16S ribosomal RNA". It matches the Rfam family "Bacterial small subunit ribosomal RNA", at positions 524 to 776 of the family's 1533-position model. The record is from RNAcentral.
GACGAACCAUGCAAACGUUAUUCGGAAUUACUGGGCUUAAAGCGUGCGUAGGCGGCUCAGAAAGUUGGGUGUGAAAUGCCUCGGCUCAACCGAGGAAUUGCGCCCAAAACUACUGGGCUUGAGGGAGUUAGAGGUGAGCGGAACUCACGGUGGAGCGGUGAAAUGCGUUGAUAUCGUGAGGAACACCGGAGGCGAAAGCGGCUCACUGGGGCUUAUCUGACGCUGAGGCGCGAAAGCCAGGGGAGCAAACAGG